RNAcentral lists this ribosomal RNA (2239 nucleotides) under Salmonella enterica. RNAcentral's name for it is "partial 23S ribosomal RNA". It matches the Rfam family "Bacterial large subunit ribosomal RNA", at positions 711 to 2925 of the family's 2925-position model. The record is from RNAcentral. Lineage: Bacteria; Pseudomonadati; Pseudomonadota; Gammaproteobacteria; Enterobacterales; Enterobacteriaceae. RNAcentral also lists the same sequence under 2 other names.
AGACCCGAAACCCGGUGAUCUAGCCAUGGGCAGGUUGAAGGUUGGGUAACACUAACUGGAGGACCGAACCGACUAAUGUUGAAAAAUUAGCGGAUGACCUGUGGCUGGGGGUGAAAGGCCAAUCAAACCGGGAGAUAGCUGGUUCUCCCCGAAAGCUAUUUAGGUAGCGCCUCGUGAAUUCAUCUCCGGGGGUAGAGCACUGUUUCGGCUAGGGGGCCAUCCCGGCUUACCAACCCGAUGCAAACUGCGAAUACCGGAGAAUGUUAUCACGGGAGACACACGGCGGGUGCUAACGUCCGUCGUGAAGAGGGAAACAACCCAGACCGCCAGCUAAGGUCCCAAAGUCAUGGUUAAGUGGGAAACGAUGUGGGAAGGCCCAGACAGCCAGGAUGUUGGCUUAGAAGCAGCCAUCAUUUAAAGAAAGCGUAAUAGCUCACUGGUCGAGUCGGCCUGCGCGGAAGAUGUAACGGGGCUAAACCAUGCACCGAAGCUGCGGCAGCGACGCUGAUGCGUUGUUGGGUAGGGGAGCGUUCUGUAAGCCUGCGAAGGUGGCCUGUGAGGGUUGCUGGAGGUAUCAGAAGUGCGAAUGCUGACAUAAGUAACGAUAAAGCGGGUGAAAAGCCCGCUCGCCGGAAGACCAAGGGUUCCUGUCCAACGUUAAUCGGGGCAGGGUGAGUCGACCCCUAAGGCGAGGCCGAAAGGCGUAGUCGAUGGGAAACGGGUUAAUAUUCCCGUACUUGGUGUUACUGCGAAGGGGGGACGGAGAAGGCUAUGUUGGCCGGGCGACGGUUGUCCCGGUUUAAGCGUGUAGGUGUGUGUUCCAGGUAAAUCCGGUUCACUUUAACACUGAGGCGUGAUGACGAGGCACUACGGUGCUGAAGCAACAAAUGCCCUGCUUCCAGGAAAAGCCUCUAAGCAUCAGGUAACAUCAAAUCGUACCCCAAACCGACACAGGUGGUCAGGUAGAGAAUACCAAGGCGCUUGAGAGAACUCGGGUGAAGGAACUAGGCAAAAUGGUGCCGUAACUUCGGGAGAAGGCACGCUGACACGUAGGUGAAGUGAUUUACUCAUGGAGCUGAAGUCAGUCGAAGAUACCAGCUGGCUGCAACUGUUUAUUAAAAACACAGCACUGUGCAAACACGAAAGUGGACGUAUACGGUGUGACGCCUGCCCGGUGCCGGAAGGUUAAUUGAUGGGGUCAGCGCAAGCGAAGCUCCUGAUCGAAGCCCCGGUAAACGGCGGCCGUAACUAUAACGGUCCUAAGGUAGCGAAAUUCCUUGUCGGGUAAGUUCCGACCUGCACGAAUGGCGUAAUGAUGGCCAGGCUGUCUCCACCCGAGACUCAGUGAAAUUGAACUCGCUGUGAAGAUGCAGUGUACCCGCGGCAAGACGGAAAGACCCCGUGAACCUUUACUAUAGCUUGACACUGAACAUUGAGCCUUGAUGUGUAGGAUAGGUGGGAGGCUUUGAAGUGUGGACGCCAGUCUGCAUGGAGCCGACCUUGAAAUACCACCCUUUAAUGUUUGAUGUUCUAACGUGGACCCGUGAUCCGGGUUGCGGACAGUGUCUGGUGGGUAGUUUGACUGGGGCGGUCUCCUCCUAAAGAGUAACGGAGGAGCACGAAGGUUGGCUAAUCCUGGUCGGACAUCAGGAGGUUAGUGCAAUGGCAUAAGCCAGCUUGACUGCGAGCGUGACGGCGCGAGCAGGUGCGAAAGCAGGUCAUAGUGAUCCGGUGGUUCUGAAUGGAAGGGCCAUCGCUCAACGGAUAAAAGGUACUCCGGGGAUAACAGGCUGAUACCGCCCAAGAGUUCAUAUCGACGGCGGUGUUUGGCACCUCGAUGUCGGCUCAUCACAUCCUGGGGCUGAAGUAGGUCCCAAGGGUAUGGCUGUUCGCCAUUUAAAGUGGUACGCGAGCUGGGUUUAGAACGUCGUGAGACAGUUCGGUCCCUAUCUGCCGUGGGCGCUGGAGAACUGAGGGGGGCUGCUCCUAGUACGAGAGGACCGGAGUGGACGCAUCACUGGUGUUCGGGUUGUCAUGCCAAUGGCACUGCCCGGUAGCUAAAUGCGGAAGAGAUAAGUGCUGAAAGCAUCUAAGCACGAAACUUGCCCCGAGAUGAGUUCUCCCUGAGACUUUAGGUCUCCUGAAGGAACGUUGAAGACGACGACGUUGAUAGGCCGGGUGUGUAAGCGCAGCGAUGCGUUGAGCUAACCGGUACUAAUGAACCGUGAGGCUUAACCUU